GCCUGGGUGGCUCAGCUGGUUAAGCAUCUGACUUUAUCUCAGGUCAUGAUCUCUUGGCUCAUGAGUUCAAGCCUCAUGUCAGGCU
This 85-nucleotide transfer RNA is filed under the name Felis catus (domestic cat). It matches the Rfam family "tRNA". From Rfam's summary of the family: Transfer RNA (tRNA) molecules are approximately 80 nucleotides in length. Their secondary structure includes four short double-helical elements and three loops (D, anti-codon, and T loops). The record is from Rfam by way of RNAcentral. Lineage: Eukaryota; Metazoa; Chordata; Mammalia; Carnivora; Felidae.